CUUCAAUCCCAUGUACAUAGUCGACUACUUCCGGAGAAAUGGCAAGGAUGGAUGGGUGUCGCUAGGCGGCAUCGUGCUCUGCAUCACCGGAACCGAAGCCAUGUUUGCUGAUUUUGGACAAUUCAAUGUUCUUGCUGUCCAACAUACAUUGGACAAGCCGCGUAUCUUACCAAGUUCCCCGAGCAUGUUAAAGAUACCUUGUACGAUGCCAUCCCCGAUUGGGAUCGAAUGCCAGCUGAGUGCAGAGGAACGGGCUCAGAAAAUCCAGCAAACCAGGAAUUGAGAUGAUGAUUUGCAGGUGCCAAAACCAGCCACGAAGGUUGACGUUUCCAAGGCAAAAAAAGCCGCCCAAGAGACCAAGCCAGCCGAUAAAUCUGAGGCGCACUCAAAAUAAAUAUUAUAGUUGCUACCUAUAUCUGCUCUAAUUUCCGAAUGCGAAUAAUUGAUUAAUAUUGACGUUGAUUUCAUUCCGUAUGCAGAAAAAGAAUCCGGAAGGAGCUACCCAUCAGAAAAUGUGAAAAGAGGAGUCUGCAUAGGUGAUCAUCGUGGAAGUGCUGCCUGGAAAAGAUCCCAGUGACGCUAGAUCCACUGCCUGAUGAGUCCUAAGGUACCAUAUUUGAUUGCUGUAUAAAUAUUUGUUUAACCUCACGUUACUUGCUUCACUGCAAAUAGCAUUCUAUGUGUAAGUAAGUGCUCAAGCAGAGUAUAGUCAUAAAGCCAAGUGUGCACACACAUUAUCAUCGUAAAAUUGUUGGGCUCUGCCUCUGAAACAUUAAUCUGGCGCAGCAAGUAGAUAUGAUUCUAGGGUUAUACACAAAUAUAUAUAUA
This is a long non-coding RNA of Andrographis paniculata, 828 nucleotides long. RefSeq lists it as uncharacterized. The record is from RefSeq and is a predicted model, not a curated record. The transcript is spliced from 4 exons. Lineage: Eukaryota; Viridiplantae; Streptophyta; Magnoliopsida; Lamiales; Acanthaceae.